UUCUAUGUGCGGGACAGCAGGUGGGGUAAUAUGAAGGGUGCAAUCGUUAAUCGGAAUUAGUGGGCUGAAAGCGUGCGUAGUGGGUUAUUUAAGUCUGCGGUGAAAUCCCCGGGCUCAACCUGGGAAUGGCAGUGGAUACUGGAGAGCUAGAGUGUGAUAGAGGAUGGUGGAAUUCCCGGUGUAGCGGUGAAAUGCGUAGAGAUCGGGAGGAACAUCAGUGGCGAAGGCGGCCAUCUGGAUCAACACUGACGCUGAGGCACGAAAGCGUGGGGAGCAAACAGGAUUAGAUACCCUUGUAGUC
This 301-nucleotide ribosomal RNA is filed under the name uncultured bacterium. Its description in RNAcentral is "bacterial SSU rRNA". It matches the Rfam family "Bacterial small subunit ribosomal RNA", at positions 495 to 795 of the family's 1533-position model. The record is from RNAcentral.